CGCUGAUGCCCUUCCUGGGCGUUUCCUCCCUGUAAACUGGCCGCGCCGUAGAGCGCGGCUUUUUUUUGCCAAAA
This is a small RNA of Asticcacaulis sp. AC466, 74 nucleotides long. It matches the Rfam family "Makes More Granules Regulator RNA (mmgR)". From Rfam's summary of the family: SuhB later renamed mmgR (makes more granules regulator) was a putative non-coding RNA found multiple times in the Agrobacterium tumefaciens genome and related alpha-proteobacteria. Other non-coding RNAs uncovered in the same analysis include: speF, ybhL, metA, and serC. Several studies inSinorhizobium meliloti showed that suhB element is indeed a non-coding RNA:firstly it was detected on Northern blot and called Sm8RNA, secondly in an RNAseq study referred to as SmelC689. NCBI's taxonomy places the organism in Bacteria, Pseudomonadati, Pseudomonadota, Alphaproteobacteria, Caulobacterales, Caulobacteraceae. The record is from Rfam.